RNAcentral lists this ribosomal RNA (377 nucleotides) under uncultured eukaryote. Its description in RNAcentral is "partial 18S ribosomal RNA". It matches the Rfam family "Eukaryotic small subunit ribosomal RNA", at positions 592 to 975 of the family's 1831-position model. The record is from RNAcentral.
CAAUAGCGUAUAUUAAAGUUGUUGCAGUUAAAAAGCUCGUAGUUGGAUUUGUGGUUCGUCCCGCCGGCUGGGUCAUUGACCUUUGCUGUGCUGGUCGUCCAUCCUUGGGUGGAAUCUGUGUGGCAUUAGGUUGUCGCGCAGGGGAUGCCCAUCGUUUACUGUGAAAAAAUUAGAGUGUUCAAAGCAGGCUUAUGCCGUUGAAUAUAUUAGCAUGGAAUAAUGAUAUAGGACCUUGGUACUAUUUUGUUGGCUUGCGCACUGAGGUAAUGAUUAAUAGGGACAGUUGGGGGUAUUCGUAUUCCAUUGUAAGAGGUGAAAUUCUUGGAUUUUUGGAAGACGAACUACUGCGAAAGCAUUUACCAAGGAUGUUUUCAUUA